UCCGGUUUAACACCGGCAGUCUCCUUAGAGUGCCCAACUAAAUGAUGGCAACUAAGGACAAGGGUUGCGCUCGUUAAGGGACUUAACCCGACAUCUCACGAUACGAGCUGACGACAGCCAUGCAGCACCUGUACUCCCAGUCUCCGAAGAGAAAAUCCUAUCUCUAGGACUGUCUGGGGAUUUCAAACCCAGGUAAGGUUCUUCGCGUUGCAUCGAAUUAAACCACAUGCUCCACCGCUUGUGCGGGCCCCCGUCAAUUCCUUUGAGUUUUAAUCUUGCGACCGUACUUCCCAGGCGGGGCACUUAAUGCGUUAGCUUCGGCACUGCGGGGGUCAAUACCCGCAACACCUAGUGCCCAUCGUUUACGGCGUGGACUAC
RNAcentral lists this unclassified non-coding RNA (378 nucleotides) under uncultured delta proteobacterium. RNAcentral's name for it is "contains 16S-23S intergenic spacer region". Lineage: Bacteria; Deltaproteobacteria. The record is from RNAcentral.